GAUGAAGAACGUAGCGAAAUGCGAUAAGUAAUGUGAAUUGCAGAAUUCAGUGAAUCAUCGAAUCUUUGAACGCACAUUGCGCCCGCCAGUAUUGUGGCGGGCAUGCCUGUUCGAGCGUCAUUUCAACCAUCAAGCCCCCGGCUUGUGUUGGGGACCUGCGGCUGCCGCAGGCCCUGAAAAGCAGUGGCGGGCUCGCUGUCACACCGAGCGUAGUAGCAUACAUCUCGCUCUGGGCGUGCUGCGGGUUCCGGCCGUUAAACCACCUUCAUAACCCAAGGUUGACCUCGGAUCAGGUAGGAAGACCCGCUGAACUUAAGCAUAUCAAUAAGCGGAGGA
Molecule: unclassified non-coding RNA, 336 nt
Filed under: soil metagenome
Description: partial contains 5.8S ribosomal RNA, internal transcribed spacer 2, and large subunit ribosomal RNA
Rfam family: 5.8S ribosomal RNA (bases 1-120)
Source: RNAcentral